This is a long non-coding RNA of Passer domesticus (house sparrow), 3206 nucleotides long. RefSeq lists it as uncharacterized. The transcript has 8 exons. Lineage: Eukaryota; Metazoa; Chordata; Aves; Passeriformes; Passeridae. The record is from RefSeq and is a predicted model, not a curated record.
CCUUCCUCCAUAAUGGGCACAGCAGUAUAGGAAAUCAGCACAGGCUGCUAAUGUACUCCUUGAACAUCACCAGUAUGAAAAUCAGAUAUAGAUAGGAUGUUUCAUUAUGAGUUGAAGAUGACUUAUGAAAGCAAAUUUCUACAGUGUGCAGAGCACCAGCUGAGCAAAGAGUGAGCUGGUGGAAGGAAAUAGGAAGAACCUGGAUUCCUGUACCUGAAGAUGUCCUGGCAAGAAUGAAGGGUGGGAGAGUGUUCUAUGCCAUAAAGCUAAGACACUAAAUGUGAUCCUGAGCUGCUGCUGCAAUGUGUCACAGAGGGGAUGAGAGAAACUCCUCUUUCUCUUGGAUAAACAGGCCAAAAAGCAACAAUCAUUGGUGAAAUUAAACGGUUUUCACUGCAAGAUGAAAUAAGUUUUCUACUUGUAACUAACAACAAGGCUGUCCCUGGAGCAAAAGAAGUCGAGUUACUAUGGUGACUUAAUACAGGAGGAGUGGAUAUCACAAACACAAAAGCAUCCCAUUUGUUGAGCAUCUCCUGGACACAUCUUUUCCAUUCUGCUGAGCUGAUAUAGUCUAGCUGAGCCAAGCUGUUUUGCUUAAUUCCUCAAGAGCAAAAAAAAAAUUAUUUCUGUGUCACAUCUGUCUGGUUGCCACUCCCUGUCAUGAAAGCCUCUCUUUGUUAUAUGCUAUUAAGCACACUUGAUCUCUUAAUCAAUUUUUAAGGCGAGAGAAGAUGGUUGUGAUUCAGAGAGAACACUUCACUGGAAACUGUACACCUAGCUCGUACCCUCAUAUUGUAGCCAUUUCUGGAAAAGGAUAUACUAGGCUUGAGCGUUAGAGAAAAUUGACUGCAUGCUCUUUGUGGAGGCUGUACUUGUUCUGUACUGCCUUUUUGGACUGUGUGGAUCUUGGAUGUUGUGUGGAAAACAGCAAACUUUUCCUCUGUUUACUGAGCAUCUAAGCAGCACUGCCUUGCAUGCUGCCAGUGAGGAGACACAGAGACUGCAAAGUUCCUCGUGCCAGAGAAAGGAACAAGUCUGGUUCAGUGUGGUGGUUUGACCCUGGCUCUGAACACCAGGUGCCUACCAAAGCCAUUCUAUUUCUUCUCAGCUGGACAGAGGAGAGAACAUACAAGAAAAGGCUCAUGGAUCAAGGUCAGGGAGAGGUCCCUCUCUUGAUUAUUGUCAUGGGCAAAAUGGGCUUGACUUUGAGAAAUUAGUUUAAUUUAUUACCAAUCAAAUUGGAGUAUGAUAAUGAAAAGUAAAACCAAAUCAUAAAACGCCUUUCCCUCACCCUUCCCUUCCUACUGGGCUCAACUUUGCUCCUGGUUUUUAGUACCUCCUCUGCUCCAGCAGCACAAGGGGACAGGGAAUGGGGGCUGUCAUCAGUUCAUCCCAUGCUGUCUGGGCCACUCCUUCCUACUCAGAAGGACUCAUCACAGUCUUCCCCUGCUCCAGUGUGGGGUCCCUCCCAUGGGGUGCAGUCCUGCAUGAGCUCCUCAAGUAUUUUAGGUCAUCCUUUUCUUAGGGAUAGACACGACUUCCUCCUGUUUCUGAAAAAUAGGAGAAUCUCUCCCCAAGACACAGGACUGCGAGAAGCUGCCUGUAACAAGGACAUCAGUUUUCCCAAGUAAUUGCAGAGAGCAUCCAUGUUUUCUUCAGAAUCUGAGGAAAUUUACAUUUGAGAGGAAAAUGUGAUCCUGUCAAGAGACAAACUUCCUUCAGAGGAGUUGUGCACAAGAUCCAUGAAUGUAUGCAAGGGCCCCAUGGUGAAAUGCCAAGAUCUGUACCAGUGUGCUAAUUCCACUGUUAUUAUGGUCAGCAGACUUUUAUAGCAUCAGGAUCCACAGCAAUGUAAAUACAUGUCAGACUCCCCUGAACAAAAGUGUGGUAUUGAUUUUGCUGUACUGUGUUGCACUCUUAUGGAUCUUAGUGACAGGCUGUUACUUCAAACAGCAUGACAAAAACUUACUAAAAUAAUCUAUUUUUCCUCGGUAAUUAAAGGCAAAGCAAAACGGAGAUGAUCACAAGCAGUCUCUGAUGAGAACUUAUCUUAAUGUUUCUUUUGAUCUCUUGUGCUGCUGCUCCAAAGUAAAGCAUCUAGGCAAAAAUAAAAUCAUAUUAAUACAGGAUGUUAAAUGGAAACAUGUUCCUAAGCAUGAAGCUAUACAAUUUAGUGUCUAGCUUUUUUCUGGCAUUGGUUAAAGGCCAGUGAAUGCAGCUCAUUUCAAUGUGAUUUCAAAAGCAGAUAAGCAAGUAUGUGCAUUAUAGAAAUCAUUCAAAAAAGAUGGUUUGAGUUUAAGACCAAUCAUUUCACAAACGCUUCAAUAGUAUAGAAUACCACUUAAUAAUUUAAACUCUGCCUUAAUAAGAAUCUAUGAAAUUGGCAUUUCUUUGAGAUAUCAUUUUUUUCUAUUCAUGUAAGAGAAGCACCUAAAAUACAAUUAGAAUAAUUGGAUCUAUCCAUCACUGAGAUUAUGUCAUGUCCUUGAGACCUGCAGCAGAAUCAUAGCAUCAUAGAUUGUUUUGGGUUAAAAGGGACCUGUAAAGGUCAUCUAGUCCAAUCCCCCUGCAAUGAGCAGAGACAUCUUCAACUGGAUCAGGUUGUUCAGAGUCCUGUCCAACCUGACCUUGAGUGUUUGCAGGAUGAUAAAAGUUGAGAUGCAGUUCUUCAAUGUUUCCUUGUUCUCCUGUUUCUUCUGUUAUGUGGUGUGUUUCCGAAAGCUGUGAGAGGAGUCAGGCAUGGUCUACAAAACAUAGAUUUAAUAAUGAUUAUAGUAACUUUGAAAGAAGAUUGUGACUGGUGCCUUCCCUUUUCCAAUGUACUUUUGUUAUUUUCCCUUUUGCCCAGUAACUUUCCAAAAAAAUCUUUCCCCUUUCUUUUUGUCAGUCAUUAUGUAAAACAUUGUCCUUCUAUGCCUGAGGACCAAUGUUAAUCAUAUACAAGCUUUUCCACACAGCUAAAUUGUAAAUUGGCUAAUAUGCAUGUCAGCGAGUGACAGACAGUGUAAGCAUUAAUUACCUAUGCAAGGUUACUGAAUUUACCUAGAUGUGAUUAAUGGUGCUAGUUAUCUUAUUAAAGGUAAUUGAGGGAGAAUCUGGUAUUACAGUUUUCAAGAUCUACAGAAAUACAGUCUAAAUUAAAGCAACUUCAACUGCAAGUCACUUUCAAAUUAAAAAAAAAAAAGUAUAUAUAUGAGUGUUUAUCU